AGUGAAUAGAUACCCGGGUAGUCCAAGCGGUAAACUAUGGGUACUAGAUGUCGGAGGUAUCGACCCCUCCGGUGUCGCAGCUAAACGCAGUAAGUACCCCGCCUGGGGAGUACGACCGCAAGGUUGAAACUCAAAGAAAUUGACGGGGGCCCGCACAAGCGGUGGAGUAUGUGGUUUAAUUCGAAGCAACGCGCAGAACCUUACCUGGGUUUGACAUGCACGGGACAGGCGGUGAGAGUCGCCCUGCUCUUCGGAGCUCCGUGCACAGGUGCUGCAUGGCUGUCGUCAGCUCGUGCCGUGAGGUGUUGGGUUAAGUCCCGCAACGAGCGCAACCCUCGUCUAUAGUUGCCAUCAGGUUAUGCUGGGCACUCUAUAGAGACUGCCGGUGACAAGCCGGAGGAAGGUGGGGAUGACGUCAAGUCCUCAUGGCCCUUACAUCCAGGGCUACACACGUACUACAAUGGCCAGUACAGAAGGUUGCAAGACCGCAAGGUGGAGCUAAUCCCCAAAACUGGCCUCAGUUCAGAUUGGA
RNAcentral lists this ribosomal RNA (532 nucleotides) under uncultured bacterium. RNAcentral's name for it is "bacterial SSU rRNA". It matches the Rfam family "Bacterial small subunit ribosomal RNA", at positions 774 to 1302 of the family's 1533-position model. The record is from RNAcentral.